RNAcentral lists this non-coding RNA (117 nucleotides) under bovine gut metagenome. RNAcentral's name for it is "THF riboswitch". It matches the Rfam family "THF (Tetrahydrofolate) riboswitch aptamer". From Rfam's summary of the family: THF riboswitch presents a pseudoknot that joins P1-P2 and the loop of P3 and two THF binding. The record is from RNAcentral.
GUAGAGUAAAUAUCAGGCGUUAAGUGUCACCGGGAUGGGAUGUUGCCCGGAGAACGAAAACGGCCCGCAUCACAUUUGUGAUCCGCCGGGAGUUGCGAUUUGAUAUUGCAUCCGCUA